CAAAGAUUGGUGAUUCCCGACCACCUCUAGUGA
Molecule: transfer RNA, 33 nt
Filed under: Tor putitora (golden mahseer)
Lineage: Eukaryota; Metazoa; Chordata; Actinopteri; Cypriniformes; Cyprinidae
Description: partial tRNA-Lys
Source: RNAcentral